Molecule: small nuclear RNA, 71 nt
Filed under: Microtus ochrogaster (prairie vole)
Lineage: Eukaryota; Metazoa; Chordata; Mammalia; Rodentia; Cricetidae
Source: RNAcentral
AGAUACAGAGAAGAUCAGUAUGGUCCCUAGGCAAGGAUGACACACAAAUUCGUGAAGCAUUCCAUUAAAAG